This is a long non-coding RNA of Aethalodelphis obliquidens (Pacific white-sided dolphin), 328 nucleotides long. RefSeq lists it as uncharacterized. The record is from RefSeq and is a predicted model, not a curated record. The transcript is spliced from 3 exons. Lineage: Eukaryota; Metazoa; Chordata; Mammalia; Artiodactyla; Delphinidae.
GGAAGACAGGGCGGCCCGGCCGGCACCCCCCACCCCGAGGCGGGGCGGCUGUGGCCCUGCCCAAGGGUGGGCAGGAUGGAAGAAGAAGGUGUUAAUGGUUGUGUCUCCGUAACGGCUAUCUGGCAAACCUCCCGGAGUGACGUGCAGAGGGCCUGCCCCGGCCUCCCCACCGACGGGCCACCUGUGCGCCGCCGAAUCCCAGAGACCAGCCCAGAGCCCCGCGCAGGGAGCAGGGGGCCAGGCGACCGGACCAGCUAGAGCCAGACGCCCAGCACUCACCCUGUAGCCACAGCGCAGCAAGCAGCAGGAGCCCGAGGCCGUGCAUGGC